This 496-nucleotide long non-coding RNA is filed under the name Hordeum vulgare. RNAcentral describes it as "long non-coding RNA (HVUL_LNC008055)". The record is from RNAcentral. Lineage: Eukaryota; Viridiplantae; Streptophyta; Magnoliopsida; Poales; Poaceae.
CUUCCUCUUCCUCUUCUCCGAUUUGCUUGUCUCUCUCGUGCCCAUACAUUUGCAAUCUUCCGGCAGGAAUGUGUGCUCACGCCGUCACGCAGCAGUAAAAGUAUAGAAGCAGCAGCUCACCAACCUUGCCUGCAGAGUCCAAAAGCAGGGGAUGAGUGCUUAAUAGACAACCUAGCAUAUUCCCUGUUUAUAAGAGGAUUAAAUCCAGAUGCUUACCAGAUCACCAACAACAGGUGAUGCGUCGAUCUCUGAAAUUCCUUCCCCUGCCCGCCGUUGCGGCGUCCCCUGCUCGCCGCCACCCGGCCCACCGACCCCGCUCGCCGCCGCAGCGCCCCGCUGGCCGCCUGCCGGCGCCGGCUAGUGCCCUGGGGAGGCCGGGAGCGCGGAGCCGCCCACCCGCCGGCCGUCGCGAGCGAGCGCCGUACUGUACCAGCACGCCCGGGAUCCCGUCGCGUCCUCCGCCGUAGAGAAGCAGCGCGAUUUUUUUUUUUUUUUN